Molecule: ribosomal RNA, 468 nt
Filed under: uncultured bacterium
Lineage: Bacteria
Description: partial 16S ribosomal RNA
Rfam family: Bacterial small subunit ribosomal RNA
Source: RNAcentral
GACGAACGCUGGCGGCGUGCUUAACACAUGCAAGUCGAACGGAAAGGCCCUGCUUUUGUGGGGUGCUCGAGUGGCGAACGGGUGAGUAACACGUGAGUAACCUGCCCUUGACUUUGGGAUAACUUCAGGAAACUGGGGCUAAUACCGGAUAGGAGCUCCUGCUGCAUGGUGGGGGUUGGAAAGUUUCGGCGGUUGGGGAUGGACUCGCGGCUUAUCAGCUUGUUGGUGGGGUAGUGGCUUACCAAGGCUUUGACGGGUAGCCGGCCUGAGAGGGUGACUGGCCACAUUGGGACUGAGAUACGGCCCAGACUCCUACGGGAGGCAGCAGUGGGGAAUAUUGCACAAUGGGCGGAAGCCUGAUGCAGCAACGCCGCGUGCGGGAUGACGGCCUUCGGGUUAUAAACCGCUUUCGCCUGUGACGAAGCGUGAGUGACGGUAAUGGGUAAAGAAGCACCGGCUAACUACGUG